This 437-nucleotide long non-coding RNA is filed under the name Homo sapiens (human). RNAcentral describes it as "non-protein coding LINC01762:41". Lineage: Eukaryota; Metazoa; Chordata; Mammalia; Primates; Hominidae. The record is from RNAcentral.
UUCAUGUAGGGGCACUGGACUGCCUAGAGUUGGAGGAAGGGACCCUUAUGUGUCUCCAGAAGCCUUCCUUUCCAUUCCUGUGGGGUCUGACAGUUGUUGGAAGAAGGCCUGCAGGUCCAGGGCCGAGCAGGGGCCUCCACCGUCUGCUGAGGAACUUACUGUGUCUCUGUUUGAUUGAGCCUGGGCAUGAGAUAAAACACGAGGUCAUCUGCAAUGGCACUGGUGCUGUGGCUGUAUCAGCAUGGCUCUGAUGUCCCUUCGGGGCAGGCAACAGUUCAGGGAGGACUUACAAGCAAGCUCUGGAACUUGAAGUCUCAAGAGAUGACAAAUAGUCAAUUCUCAAAAAAUGAAGAAAAGAAAAACUUGUUUCUUCAUGUUUGCUAACCCUAUCUAUAUCUAUGGUUUUGGCCAAUAAAUUCACUGUGUUUAAAUCCUCA